GGAAGCAUGCUCUUAUUAGUCGAACUGCUGCGGUUGUGUCUUGUGUCGGCCUCGGUUGCCAGGAGCAGCACCGGAGACUUUAAAGGAUCGUACAAUUUAGUAUCGUAGAAAGCACCAAACCAGACCUAUUAUUGAAUGCAUGAGGAAUGGAAGAACUGUCAUGUCAUGUUCGGUUGGUGAACUCAAAGUAAAGGGCCAAAAGGACGAGCAAGAGUUGGUCAUUCAAGAAGCUUUGGCUAGCCAGCUUGACUUAUAAAAAAAGAAUAGAAGGAAGGG
This 276-nucleotide long non-coding RNA is filed under the name Lupinus angustifolius (narrow-leaved blue lupine). RNAcentral's name for it is "long non-coding RNA (LANG_LNC002296)". The record is from RNAcentral. Lineage: Eukaryota; Viridiplantae; Streptophyta; Magnoliopsida; Fabales; Fabaceae.